UCGGGUUGUAAAGCACUUUUGUCCGGGAAGAAAACUUCGGGGCUAAUACCUCUGGAGGAUGACGGUACCGGAAGAAUAAGCACCGGCUAACUACGUGCCAGCAGCGCGGUAAUCGUAGGGUGCGAGCGUUAAUCGGAAUUACUGGGCGUAAAGCGUGCGCAGGCGGUCUGUUAAGACAGAUGUGAAAUCCCCGGGCUUAACCUGGGAACUGCAUUUGUGACUGGCAGGCUAGAGUAUGGCAGAGGGGGGUAGAAUUCCACGUGUAGCAGUGAAAUGCGUAGAGAUGUGGAGGAAUACCGAUGGCGAAGGCAGCCCCCUGGGCCAAUACUGACGCUCAUGCACGAAAGCGUGGGGAGCAAACAGGAUUAGAUACCCUGGUAGUCCACGCCCUAAACGAUGUCAACUAGUUGUUGGGGAUUCAUUUCCUUAGUAACGUAGCUAACGCGUGAAGUUGACCGCCUGGGGAGUACGGUCGCAAGAUUAAAACUCAAAGGAAUUGACGGGGACCCGCACAAGCGGUGGAUGAAUGUGGAUUAAUUCGAUGCAACGCGAAAAACCUUACCUACCCUUGACAUGGUCGGAACCCUGGUG
This 591-nucleotide ribosomal RNA is filed under the name uncultured Burkholderia sp. RNAcentral's name for it is "bacterial SSU rRNA". It matches the Rfam family "Bacterial small subunit ribosomal RNA", at positions 418 to 1003 of the family's 1533-position model. The record is from RNAcentral. Lineage: Bacteria; Pseudomonadati; Pseudomonadota; Betaproteobacteria; Burkholderiales; Burkholderiaceae.